GAGUUUGAUCGUGGCUCAGAUUGAACGCUAGCGGGAUGCUUUACACAUGCAAGUCGAACGGCAGCGCGGACUUCGGUCUGGCGGCGAGUGGCGAACGGGUGAGUAAUGUAUCGGAACGUGCCCAGUAGCGGGGGAUAACUACGCGAAAGCGUAGCUAAUACCGCAUACGCCCUACGGGGGAAAGAGGGGGAGUCGCAAGACCUCUCACUAUUGGAGCGGCCGAUAUCGGAUUAGCUAGUUGGUGGGGUAAAGGCCUACCAAGGCGACGAUCCGUAGCUGGUUUGAGAGGACGACCAGCCACACUGGGACUGAGACACGGCCCAGACUCCUACGGGAGGCAGCAGUGGGGAAUUUUGGACAAUGGGGGCAACCCUGAUCCAGCCAUCCCGCGUGUGCGAUGAAGGCCUUCGGUUGUAAG
Molecule: ribosomal RNA, 418 nt
Filed under: uncultured beta proteobacterium
Lineage: Bacteria; Pseudomonadati; Pseudomonadota; Betaproteobacteria
Description: bacterial SSU rRNA
Rfam family: Bacterial small subunit ribosomal RNA
Source: RNAcentral